GCUUCUGGAGUUCUGGUGCCUUCAAUUGAAAUAUCACACCCACCCAGUAAAAAAGUCAAAAUCGCACAAGGGAGUAGAAUGGCUGUAGCUUCUCUUGUAGAUCUAGAGUUCUUGCGAUCUCAGCCUCGUCCGGUUGCACAACAUCUCAUCUCUUCUUGAAAAGCUGGUGAAAUGGAUGGUUUUGAAGCAAUCAGACACUUGGAAACAAAGCUGAGAGAUGUAGCUCUCAAGGUUGAAGAGGAAAUCGAGUUCCAAGUAGCAGAUCUGCACCAGCAGGAAGAGGAUCUGAGAAUAGCUUGGCCUUCUCAUCAUAUUUUGCAGAAAGCAAUUGAAGAUGAUGAGAUCCAGGACGAGUUGGUCAAAGCCAUCGCCCUGCAAGGAAGGAAGACUGCGGUUGAUGCUUUUCCAAUGUGUGGUGAAGCUUGUAUGAUGGGUGGUUCCUACCGGCAUGCUGACUUAAUGGUUGGAAAACACAAUGAGUUCACCACUAUUAAGGAGAUGCAGAGUGGAAAUCCAUCCAAGCAACUGACAAGUUUUCUCCAUUUUGGGAUGGGAGGAAUUGGUAAGACAACUUUAAUUAUGUGAAUUUUUGAAGAUCCAUCAAUUGUUUCUCACUUACAAGGGAAUGUGUGAGUUGUUGUUGCAUCGCAGCUUCAUAAUAAGAGUCAAAUACUCUAGGAUAUUCUUAGUUCAUAAUAAUGUUAAUUUAGAAUUAUUGUGAGACUAAUUGUUGAGAAAUGCAAAGGAUUGCCUUCGUCAAUUGCUGUGACAGCAUGUUUAGUUUCCAAACUCAACACACUAGAUGAGUGGAAGAAUAUUGUUGGAAUUCUAAAUUUGUCAUCAACCAUGGCUAUUGAUGAAGAAUGCUCAAGAAUACUCUCAUUGAGUUACAUUCACUUGCCUCACAAUUUGAUGAAGAAUGCUCAAGAAUACUCUCUUUGAGUUAUAACCACUUGCCUCACAACUUGAAAGCUUGUUUUUUAUAUUGAGGUGUUUUUUCAGAGGAAAUACUCUCAUUGAGUUACAAUCAUUUGCCUCACAACUUGAAAGCUUCCUUUUUAUAUUGAGUGUUUUUUCAGAGCAUAAAGAGUUUUAUGCUAACAAUCUUGCAAGUUAUGAGCUGCCGAAGGACUUGUAAAGGCAUAUGAGGGUUGCCGAAAGACUUGUAAAGGCAUUUGAGGGAGGGACCAUUUAUCAUAUCAAAAUGAGAGUUGGGAGAUUUAUUUUAGGAAGUACCUAUAAAUCUCAAGAUCUUGAAUUUGGAGCAAUUGGGAGAUCGAUUGUUGAGAAAUGCAAAGGAUUGUCUUUGGCAAUUGGUGUAGUAGCUGGUCUAUUUUCCAAACUCAACCCACUAGAUGAGUGGAAGAAUAUUGUUGGAACUCUAAAUGCAUCUUCAACCACGGUUAUUCAUGGACGAAGAAUGCUCAAGAAUACUCUCAUUGAGUUAUAAUCACUUGCCUCACAACUUGAAAGUUUGUUUUUUGUAUUUGGAUAUUUUUCCAAAGGAUAACGAGUUCUGGGUUGCAAAAUGACUCGUUAGGCAUAUGAGAAUAAGAGCUUUGAUGAAGUGGCUGAAAUACAUAUACAAGAACCAAUAGAUAGAAAACCUUAAUUCUGGUGGUAAAUUGUGGGCAAGGACAUGAGAUCAAACAUUUACUGCAACAAUGUAAAAGUUACAUCCAAUGUGGAGUCCAUGCAGUUGAACGAACGAACCGGGAUGUUUAUUGGCCUGAAUCACCUCCGAUCCACUCUUCUUGAAUAUCUCCGAUCCAUUUCUACUUUCUUUUGGUAUGUGGCAUGCAGUAAUUUUUGUUUCAUAGCUAAAAAAGAAAAAGAAAAAUUAAAAAUGAAGUACAGUAGACUCCACCUGCCAUGCAGCGCCGGAGAAGGGGGACAGCCAUGCAGCGCUAGACACUAUAUAUGACCAUCAGCUCACAUCUCCGAGCAGUUCAAACUGGUUAUGGAUUUAGGCAUGCAGAUUUCCAAUAUCGAUCUGCCCUAUGAAGCAACAACAGUUAACUUGAGCUUAAUGGAUCCGGUGAUCAACUUGAGGUCAGGUUCUAUGAUUGUGUUACAUAAAUUCACUUGGGCAGCCUGCUCAGUCCUAGAACCAUGGUAGAGCUACCAGUGGGCCGGGCCUUCAAUUCCAUUAUCAGCAAAGAAGGAUGAGGUCUGCAGCUGAACCAUCCUCCGCGUCAGCAGAACUUCAGGGGUGACCGGAGGACGACCUGAUCGCCUGCCUACGUGCACCACCGCUCGCCCUCAUCUACCUUGAGCACUGUAAAAAUUCUAAAAAGUAGGCGUUGGAGGAGGAAGAAGAUGAUAUAUAGAGAAGGGCAUUAAUUUGUAUAUAACAAACCAUUAGUUGAGACUUAAGUUCAUACUUCUCAUUUUCAUUCUGUAAGUUUCUUUUGCUAUCAAUAAACAUUUCACGCACAGUUCUGCUUUCCCCUUUGAAGCUCUACCCUCUGCCGCGUAACUCCAUCUUCGUCGCCGUGCUUCUCAGUUGGGCAUUCUCCGGUGUUGCGUUGGGCUUGGAUUCGGAUCAGGUGGCACUGCUGAAGCAGAGCUCGACCGGAGCCUUGUAAUUCGUUUUUGGGUAUUAGUUUAGUUGCGCAAUGCACGUAUAGCCUGUAAAAUACUAUAUUUAUAUUUAAGGACUACUAUUAAGUGUUUUUUGUUUAA
RNA transcript from Ipomoea triloba (trilobed morning glory), 2685 nucleotides. RefSeq lists it as uncharacterized. The record is from RefSeq and is a predicted model, not a curated record. NCBI's taxonomy places the organism in Eukaryota, Viridiplantae, Streptophyta, Magnoliopsida, Solanales, Convolvulaceae. The transcript has 3 exons.